GCCUGGAUGGUUCAGUUGGUAGAACAUGUGACUCUUGAUCACGGGGUUGUGGGUUCGAGCCCCAUGCUGGGUG
This is a non-coding RNA of Callorhinus ursinus (northern fur seal), 73 nucleotides long. The record is from the annotation of a RefSeq genome assembly. NCBI's taxonomy places the organism in Eukaryota, Metazoa, Chordata, Mammalia, Carnivora, Otariidae.